RNAcentral lists this unclassified non-coding RNA (604 nucleotides) under Hevea brasiliensis (rubber tree). Lineage: Eukaryota; Viridiplantae; Streptophyta; Magnoliopsida; Malpighiales; Euphorbiaceae. The record is from RNAcentral.
UUCAAAAACAAACCAAACCGAAAAAACUGAAAUUUUUAUAAUAUAAAAACAAACUAAACUGAAUUAUAUUAAAAACCGAAUCGAAUUACAGAAUUAAGGCGGUUUAUUCGGUUUGAACUAAAUGAUGCUCACCUCUACCAACCACCACCAAAAAAAAAAAAACACCCACCCCUAAUCACCCUUUUCCUCGUGCAUUUUUUUUUGUACUCUGGUCAUUUGAGCUCCCAUAGAUCUACUGAUUUAGUUGAUGUUUAUAUUCACUUUAUGGUAUGCAUACACAAAUUGGAGUAAGAGUGAGAUCUGAACUGUCUAAAGCAACAUAAUGAAUUUUGUAAUUGUAGAAGCAUGUGGAUUUAGAACAUGAUUGAAAUCUUUAUUUUUUGGGCAUUUGUAUGUUUCAUUCCCUCGACUUUCAAGUUUCAUUUGCUGAGGAUUGCUUUAUGAAUGAAGGGAAAAGACCUGAAAAAGUUCAAGUGGACUUAUACUGUACGCAUGAUAAUGUGUAAAUUGCUUUCUAAAAGUUUGAAGUUUGGCCUGUGAUAGACGCUGCCUCUUGGUUCCUAAUUUUAAAUCUAUUGCAGGAUGGCUUACUUGGAAUUCAAGG